GAACGCUAGCUACAGGCUUAACACAUGCAAGUCGAGGGCAGCAUGGUCUUAGCUUGCUAAGGCCGAUGGCGACCGGCGCACGGGUGAGUAACACGUAUCCAACCUGCCGUCUACUCUUGGACAGCCUUCUGAAAGGAAGAUUAAUACAAGAUGGCAUCAUGAGUCCGCAUGUUCACAUGAUUAAAGGUAUUCCGGUAGACGAUGGGGAUGCGUUCCAUUAGAUAGUAGGCGGGGUAACGGCCCACCUAGUCUUCGAUGGAUAGGGGGUUCUGAGAGGAAGGUCCCCCCACAUUGGAACUGAGACACGGUCCAAACUCCUACGGGAGGCAGCAGUGAGGAAUAUUGGUCAAUGGGCGAGAGCCUGAACCAGCCAAGUAGCGUGAAGGAUGACUGCCCUAUGGGUUGUAAACUUCUUUUAUAAAGGAAUAAAGUCGGGUAUGGAUACCCGUUUGCAUGUACUUUAUGAAUAAGGAUCGGCUAACUCCGUG
Molecule: ribosomal RNA, 488 nt
Filed under: uncultured bacterium
Lineage: Bacteria
Description: bacterial SSU rRNA
Rfam family: Bacterial small subunit ribosomal RNA
Source: RNAcentral